This 274-nucleotide ribosomal RNA is filed under the name uncultured bacterium. RNAcentral describes it as "partial 16S ribosomal RNA". It matches the Rfam family "Bacterial small subunit ribosomal RNA", at positions 523 to 796 of the family's 1533-position model. The record is from RNAcentral.
AUACGUAGGGUGCGAGCGUUAAUGGGAAUUACUGGGCGUAAAGAGUACGUAGGCGGCCUACUAAGUCAGAUGUGAAAGCCCAGGGCUCAACCUUGGAACUGCAUUUGAAACUGGUAGGCUAGAGUAUGGUAGAGGGGGGUAGAAUUUCUGGUGUAGCGGUGAAAUGCGUAGAUAUCAGAAGGAAUACCAGUGGCGAAGGCGGCCCCCUGGCCCAAUACUGACGCUGAGGUACGAAAGCGUGGGUAGCGAACGGGAUUAGAAACCCGGGUAGUCC